AAACCAAUGGUGGUCCAGUUGUCUUUACAAAGGCAUAGAUGGGUAGCUAAGUAUGGAAAGGAUAACCGCUGAAAGCAUCUAAGCGGGAAGCCAACCUCAAGAUAAGAUAUCCCAUUCUUGUGUAGCAAUACAUGAGAGCAUAAGACCCCUUGAAGACUACAAGGUAGAUAGGUUAGAAGUGUAAGUACAGUAAUGUAUUGAGCUGACUAAUACUAAUAGGUCGAGAGUCUUAGCCAC
RNAcentral lists this ribosomal RNA (237 nucleotides) under Desulfobacterales bacterium. Its description in RNAcentral is "partial 23S ribosomal RNA". It matches the Rfam family "Bacterial large subunit ribosomal RNA", at positions 2703 to 2925 of the family's 2925-position model. The record is from RNAcentral. Lineage: Bacteria; Pseudomonadati; Thermodesulfobacteriota; Desulfobacteria; Desulfobacterales.